CCUACGGGUGGCUGCAGUGGGGAAUAUUGGACAAUGGGGGGAACCCUGAUCCAGCCAUGCCGCGUGUGUGAAGAAGGCCCUCGGGUUGUAAAGCACUUUCAGUGAGGAAGAACGCCUGGUGGUUAAUACCCAUCAGGAAAGACAUCACUCACAGAAGAAGCACCGGCUAACUCCGUGCCAGCAGCCGCGGUAAUACGGAGGGUGCGAGCGUUAAUCGGAAUUACUGGGCGUAAAGCGCGCGUAGGUGGCUUGAUAAGCCGGUUGUGAAAGCCCCGGGCUCAACCUGGGAACGGCAUCCGGAACUGUCAAGCUAGAGUGUAGGAGAGGAAGGUAGAAUUCCCGGUGUAGCGGUGAAAUGCGUAGAGAUCGGGAGGAAUACCAGUGGCGAAGGCGGCCUUCUGGACUGACACUGACACUGAGGCGCGAAAGCGUGGGUAGCAAACAGGAUUAGAUACCCUUGUAGUC
Molecule: ribosomal RNA, 465 nt
Filed under: Vreelandella stevensii
Lineage: Bacteria; Pseudomonadati; Pseudomonadota; Gammaproteobacteria; Oceanospirillales; Halomonadaceae
Description: partial 16S ribosomal RNA
Rfam family: Bacterial small subunit ribosomal RNA
Source: RNAcentral